GACGGAGGAUGCAAGCGUUAUCCGGAAUGAUUGGGCGUAAAGCGUCCGCAGGUGGCAGUUCAAGUCUGCUGUCAAAGACCGGGGCUUAACUUCGGAAAGGCAGUGGAAACUGAACAGCUAGAGUAUGGUAGGGGCAGAGGGAAUUCCUGGUGUAGCGGUGAAAUGCGUAGAGAUCAGGAAGAACACCGGUGGCGAAGGCGGGUCUCUGGGCCGUAACUGACGCUGAGGAGCGAAAGCAUGGGGAGCGAACAGG
This 253-nucleotide ribosomal RNA is filed under the name uncultured bacterium. RNAcentral describes it as "partial 16S ribosomal RNA". It matches the Rfam family "Bacterial small subunit ribosomal RNA", at positions 524 to 776 of the family's 1533-position model. The record is from RNAcentral.